UACGUAGGGUCCGAGCGUUGUCCGGAAUUACUGGGCGUAAAGAGCUCGUAGGUGGUUUGUCGCGUUGUUCGUGAAAACUCACAGCUCAACUGUGGGCGUGCGGGCGAUACGGGCAGACUAGAGUACUGCAGGGGAGACUGGAAUUCCUGGUGUAGCGGUGGAAUGCGCAGAUAUCAGGAGGAACACCGGUGGCGAAGGCGGGUCUCUGGGCAGUAAACUGACGCUGGAGGAGCGAAAGCGUGGGGAGCGAACAGG
This 255-nucleotide ribosomal RNA is filed under the name uncultured bacterium. RNAcentral describes it as "partial 16S ribosomal RNA". It matches the Rfam family "Bacterial small subunit ribosomal RNA", at positions 524 to 776 of the family's 1533-position model. The record is from RNAcentral.